UCCCGUGUGGCUCAGUUGGUAGAGCAUUGGUGUUUGCAAUGCCAGGGUUGUGGGUUCGAUUCCCACGGGGGGGG
RNAcentral lists this transfer RNA (74 nucleotides) under Salmo salar (Atlantic salmon). It matches the Rfam family "tRNA". Rfam says of the family: Transfer RNA (tRNA) molecules are approximately 80 nucleotides in length. Their secondary structure includes four short double-helical elements and three loops (D, anti-codon, and T loops). The record is from Rfam by way of RNAcentral. Lineage: Eukaryota; Metazoa; Chordata; Actinopteri; Salmoniformes; Salmonidae.